RNAcentral lists this long non-coding RNA (3653 nucleotides) under Homo sapiens (human). RNAcentral describes it as "non-protein coding lnc-ANKRD11-1:3". The record is from RNAcentral. Lineage: Eukaryota; Metazoa; Chordata; Mammalia; Primates; Hominidae.
ACAGCUGCGCCCCGCCGCGCCCGGGUGCCGCUUGCCGCACCCCCGAGCCUGAGCCCGUCUACCUCGUGGCUGCCUGAGGCCCGGGUAUGGGGGCGCGCGUCUGCGAGGAGGUCGCGGGUGCCCUGGUUUUUUUGAAGCCGGCCUUGUAUUCCCAGGGCCUGGCGGGUGAAUAACCGGCCGGGUCGUGGCUGCGUGGUCGUGCUCCGCCCGCGCCGAGGGGCCUCACGCCCGGGCAGCCUGCGUCACCCGCAGGGUUCGGUCACAGGCGAGGGCGGAUGGUGCGGGCCGGAAUCCCGCCUGCGAGUAGAGGCCCGCGCUCAGGAGGGCGGCGCCGGAGGCCUCGGGUCGGGAGGGCCCCUUCGGGUGUGAGGAGCGCAGGAAGGGGGCGGUUUUCCUGCGUCUUGAGCCGCCCGAGGACGAGGACUGAAGUUGCAGCCGCCGCAGGGAGGGCAGCCCCGGAGGAGGAGGGUCGUGAGGGAGGGAGCGCGCAGUGCGGCGCGGCCUGGCAGGCGUCUGCAGAGCUCGUCCCGCACACCUCUGACUUCGGAGCGCUCCGUCCUGUGCCUUCGGACUGGCUCACCUCGGAGGCGCUUCGAGCCUCGGUCCUGCCCCGGCCGCUGCGCGAGCCCAUCGUAGGAAGCGGGGAGGCGCCGUCUGGAAGCUUAGGAAGAGGCUCUGUUCUCUUCAGGGUCCGCCCUCCGGGCCCGGGCAGGGUCCCUCGUGGGCUCCCAGGCGCGCGGGGUCCUCCGCCACCCCGACCCCUUCCUCCGUCCGCCUUAGGUCUAGAGCUGACGCCAAGAGCUGGAAAGCUUGUUGAGUAGGAAAAGCAAAGACUAGAUGGUCUGUCACAGAGGUAGGAUGAGGGUGACCUAUUUAUUUUUAUGCUUUUCUGUACUCCGCAAAUUCGUAACAGUGAAUGCCAGUGACGACAGCCAACAUCACCGAGUGCCUAGCUCCGUGUCGAACACCCAUGUAAUAUUCACAACCCUGUGCAGCGAAUACAAUACCUCUAUUUUACAUGUAAAGAAAGAUUCAGAAGUAUUAAAAGUAACCUGCCUAGGAUUACAGCUCUGAAGUUAGGGCAGAAUUUCAAGGCCGGUCUGGUUUGUUUCUGGACCUGCACUCACUCCACCACUACAGACGAGGUUGCAAAGCCAGUGGGCUGCGUGUAAUCCUCCCUCUUCCUCAGCCCCGAGACGCUCAGGAAAGUGUUUUCAGUUAUCGUGGUUAUCCGCCCUCAGCCCUCCAGUGGGCCGGGUGCCUCGGCAGAGGUGCUCGGGGCUGGGGAGGUGUUCUGUUGGUUUGUGGAGAGGACCUUCCCCUACACCCAGGGCUGACACUGAUUUUCACAACUGAACCGCUUUUCCUUUUGCUUCUUAUUGUACAGUCAGCCUUCGCAGUGAAUCCAACCUUGCCGUUUCCUCCUCCACUAUUUUUUCUUUCCCUGAUUGAAAGACACCAGGUGGGCCGGGCGCGGUGCCCUCCCCCUCCCUCUCCCUGCCCUUCAUCCCAGCACUUUGGGAGGCCAAGGCGGGCGGACCACGAGGUCAGGAGAUCGAGACCAUCCUGGCUAACACGGCGAAACCCCGUCUCUACUAAAAAUACGAAAAAUUAGCCGGGCGCUGUGGCGGGCGCCUGUAGUCCCAGCUACUCGGGAGGCUGAGGCAGGAGAAUGGCGUGAACCCGGGAGGCGGAGCUUGCAGUGAGCCGAGAUCCCGCCACUGCACUCCAGCCUGGGCGACAGAGCGAGACUCCAUCUCAAAAAAAAAAAAAAAGGUCACAAAUCCUCUGAACGCACAGGCAUAAAGGGUUGUGGGGCUCGGUCACUUCCUAGAACACAAAAAACCCUUUCGGAAGUUUGGUUGGGUUGGUCACGGGACAAGGCUGGAGAGAGGGUGAGGGCACACAUUUGGAUGUGUUUGGGAGGAGUUUAAGUGUAGUCCUAUUAAUAUUGUUUGAGAUAAGUUAAAAUUGUUUCCUGGCAAUUCAUCAGAAGCAGUGUGGGGUGUUGGCAAGAGGCCUCCUCUGGGGAAAGAACACUGGGUUCUGUCUCCUCUGGCCUAUGACCUUAAGCAAGUUAUUAGCUUCCUCAAGCCUCAAUCUUCUCAGCGGUAAAAUGGGGAUGAUAAUUAUCUGCAAAGCAAGGCUAAUAUCAGCCUUGGGUUUCCCACAGGGUGGUUAUGAAGAUAAAAUGCAAUAAAUGUGUGUGAGGGCAACUGACGAGCCAGGAAGCCUUGGCAUCCAGAGUUAUUACUGGGACGUCAUGGGAAAUGAGGAUAUGGGAACAGAGUAUUUAUGCAUUUAUUCAAACUCAUCUCUAACAACCGUGCUUUGAAGGCUGGCUGCAUCCCAGGCCCUACAGGUGAACCGUGACUCUCAGCUCUCAGCUUCAGCCCCUGCUGUAGUGGCGGCAGCAGCAGAGGCUCACGUAGCCUCAAGCAGUAGGGGUUUUGUUUAAGGAUUCGGGUGCCCCAUGGUUUGGGGGUUUUGUUUUUAUUUUGCUGCAUGAUUUGGAUUCAAGAAGAAGGAUCUGUAGGACAGUGGGCUCCCGGGUCUGCCUUUGCCCUCAUAGCCUGCAGCAGAGCAGGACGUUCGCUUUCCCUUCUCCGCCUGUGUGUUCUUCCUGCACUGCCUAACUGCUGCUUGCUCAUUUGUGCUUCCGUGUCACCCCUCCUCAGCCCUCUGAACUCUGCACGUCAGGACUUGGCACACUUCCUAACUGCUGCUUACUCAUUUGUACUUCCGCGUCACCCCUCCUCAGCCCUCUGAACUCUGCGCUUGGACUUGGUGUGACUUCCCUUCCCCGCCUAUUCUCUAGAGGCAGUCUCUUGGUGACUCCUGGUUUGGGUCAGGGCACGCCUUAGGUCUCUGGAUGGCUACCAACCCCAGGUUCCCUCAGCUCUAGCCCCAUAAGAGAGGAGGCCUCAGGAGCGCCUAGGGCAGCCCUUUCAGCCUGGGCUGUGGGAAGGGAAGGUGGACAGAGAGGAGACCCCAUGCCUUUGUUCCCUGUUGAUGCAGAAGCAUUCUAGGCUCUGUCCCUUAUUCCUGCUGUGGGCUGAAGCUUCAGGCAAGGUGCUCUACAAACUUCAGUUGCCUCAUCUAUCAAACAGUAACGUUUAACAUUCCAGAGACAGAAGUUGAUCUUUGGGACUUUUUUUGAUUUUAAGAUCUAGGCUGGCUGGGGCGGUGGCUCAUGCCUGUAAUCCCAGCACUUUGAGAGGCCGAGACCGGUGGAUCACGAGAUCAUCAGGAGAUGAGACCAUCCUGGCUAACAUGGUAAAACCCAGUCUCUACUAAAAAUAGAAAAAAUUAGCCGGGCACGGUGGCAGGUGCCUGUAAUCCCAGCUACUUGGGAGGCUGAGGCAGGAGAAUCGAUUGAAUCUGGGAGGCAGAGACUCCAUCUGAAAAAAAAAAAAAAAGAUCUAGGCUUCUGGCUGGGUGCUAUGUCCCACGCCUGUAAUCCCAGCACUUUGGGAGGGCAAGGCAGGUGGAUCACUUGAGGUCAGGAGUUCAAGACCAGCCUAGCCAACACGGCGAAACUCUCUUUCUACUAAAAAUACAAAAAAAUUAGCCAGGCACGGUGGCAACAUGCCUGUAGUUCCAGCUACUCGAGAGGCUGAGGCAUGAGAAUCGCUUGAACCUGGGAGGUGGAG